UUUUCCGGUUGAUCCCGCCGGGACCCGACUGCUAUCAGAGUGGGACUAAGCCAUGCGAGUCAACAUAGCAAUAUGUGGCAUACGGCUCAGUAACACGUAGUCAACAUGCCCAGGGGACGUGGAUAACCUCGGGAAACUGAGGAUAAACCGCGAUAGGUCAUCACUUCUGGAAUGGGUAAUGUCUUAAAUCUAUAUGGCCCCUGGAUUGGACUGCGGCCGAUCAGGCUGUUGGUGAGGUAAUGGCCCACCAAACCUGUAACCGGUACGGGCUCUGAGAGGAGGAGCCCGGAGAUGGGCACUGAGACAAGGGCCCAGGCCCUAUGGGGCGCAGCAGGCGCGAAACCUCUGCAAUAGGCGAAAGCUUGACAGGGUUACUCUGAGUGAUUUCCGUUAAGGAGAUCUUUUGGCACCUCUAAAAAUGGUGCAGAAUAAGGGGUGGGCAAGUCUGGUGUCAGCCGCCGCGGUAAUACCAGCACCCCGAGUGGUCGGGACGUUUAUUGGGCCUAAAGCAUCCGUAGCCGGUUCUACAAGUCUUCCGUUAAAUCCACCUGCUUAACAGAUGGGCUGCGGAAGAUACUAUAGAGCUAGGAGGCGGGAGAGGCAAGCGGUACUCGAUGGGUAGGGGUAAAAUCCGUUGAUCCAUUGAAGACCACCAGUGGCGAAGGCGGCUUGCCAGAACGCGCUCGACGGUGAGGGAUGAAAGCUGGGGGAGCAAACCGGAUUAGAUACCCGGGUAGUCCCAGCUGUAAACGAUGCAGACUCGGUGAUGAGUUGGCUUAUUGCUAACUCAGUGCCGCAGGGAAGCCGUUAAGUUUGCCGCCUGGGGAGUACGGUCGCAAGACUGAAACUUAAAGGAAUUGGCGGGGGAGCACCACAAGGGGUGAAGCCUGCGGUUCAAUUGGA
Molecule: ribosomal RNA, 903 nt
Filed under: uncultured archaeon
Lineage: Archaea
Description: bacterial SSU rRNA
Rfam family: Archaeal small subunit ribosomal RNA
Source: RNAcentral